RNAcentral lists this ribosomal RNA (362 nucleotides) under Clostridium sp. Its description in RNAcentral is "bacterial SSU rRNA". It matches the Rfam family "Bacterial small subunit ribosomal RNA", at positions 553 to 916 of the family's 1533-position model. The record is from RNAcentral. Lineage: Bacteria; Bacillati; Bacillota; Clostridia; Eubacteriales; Clostridiaceae.
ACUGGGUUUAAAGGGCGCGUAGGCGGAUGGUUAAGUCAGAUGUGAAAAAUGCAGGCUCAACCUGGAUUGUGCAUCUGAUACUGGUCAUCUUGAGUGCAGGAGAGGGCAGUGGAAUUCCUAGUGUAGCGGUGAAAUGCGUAGAGAUUAGGAGGAACACCAGUGGCGAAGGCGGCUCUCUGGACUGUAACUGACGCUGAGGCACGAAAGCGUGGGGAGCAAACAGGAUUAGAUACCCUGGUAGUCCACGCUGUAAACGAUGAAUACUAGGUGUCGGGGGUCGAACCUCGGUGCCGCACGCUAACGCAAUAAGUAUUCCGCCUGGGGAGUACGAUCGCAAGAUUAAAACUCAAAGGAAUUGACGG